Molecule: long non-coding RNA, 562 nt
Organism: Zingiber officinale
Lineage: Eukaryota; Viridiplantae; Streptophyta; Magnoliopsida; Zingiberales; Zingiberaceae
Exons: 2
Source: RefSeq, a predicted model, not a curated record
UGAUUAUUAAUUUCUGGUAGGACACUUCAGCAACUUGUGCACUUGCCUUCAAAUUACAUUCAAGCAUAUUAAAAUCUGAAUUUGGAGUCAUCAAAGAUUUUGCUGCUUGGAGUCCACUCUGCUUUGCAUCAUGACUAUAUUUUCUAGUAUUGCUAAAGUAAUUUCAAGCGAGGGUUCCAUAUUUGCUGGAAACUGACAAGGCUACAGUGGAAAUGGAGUGCAUGGAAGAAGGACAUCUUGCCAAGAUAAUACAUGGAGAUGGGUCCAAAGAGAUAAAAGUUGGUGAGAAAAAAUAUUAGAAUGUCCACCUGAAUCUCAAAACACAACUAAUAUUGUUGAUGAUACAAUUAGCAUUGUGUUUGGCAAAGAAGCUCGGGGUAGAGUGCGCGGAAUGGGCUUUGGAGUAACACCAUCGAAAGUUGGAGCUUCUGUGCAACAAAAUAGAACGGUUCAACAACUUCAAACUAUAGUACAAAAUGUUCAACAACAAAUGUAAGAAAUGAGGCAACAAAAUCAACUAGAAAUGCAAGAAAUGAGGUCUAUGUUUUUACAAAGUAUGAGA